This 271-nucleotide ribosomal RNA is filed under the name Gammarus balcanicus. RNAcentral's name for it is "partial 16S ribosomal RNA". The record is from RNAcentral. Lineage: Eukaryota; Metazoa; Arthropoda; Malacostraca; Amphipoda; Gammaridae.
GCUAAGGUAGCAUAGUCAUUUGUUAUUUAAUUGGUAACUGGAAUGAAAGGUUAAACUAGCUUAUUAAGUUUGUAAGAUUAUAUAGUAGUUUAAAGUUAAGGUAAGAAUUCUUUAAUAUUCUAGGGGACGAUAAGACCCUAGAAGCUUAACGAGCAGAAAUUUUGUUUUAGAAGAUUGUUUGUUUUACUGGGGCGGUAAAAAUAAUUAAACUAUUUAAUAGUUACAAGAUCCUUAAAAUAAAGAUAGAAUGGGGAAGUUACUCUAGGGAUAA